Long non-coding RNA from Crotalus tigris (Tiger rattlesnake), 222 nucleotides. RefSeq lists it as uncharacterized. Lineage: Eukaryota; Metazoa; Chordata; Lepidosauria; Squamata; Viperidae. The transcript has 3 exons. The record is from RefSeq and is a predicted model, not a curated record.
AGGAAAUACAAUAAAGACCCACUGGUCCCUCUUAUUAUCUGAGGAGCUCAAGGAGGUGAAGCAGAGGACAGAUAUAUAACUUUAAAUAAAUGGAAGGAGGCACCAGAGAAGACACCUGUGAUUUUAGAUGGAAAAGAAAUGUGUUUGUAAUGGAAUCUCUGGUUAGAGUGGGGAGGAGGAUGGCUAGCUUAAAGUCAUUCCAUGGGAAGAAGAGACAAUGCC